Long non-coding RNA from Carassius auratus (goldfish), 193 nucleotides. RefSeq lists it as uncharacterized. The record is from RefSeq and is a predicted model, not a curated record. The transcript has 3 exons. NCBI's taxonomy places the organism in Eukaryota, Metazoa, Chordata, Actinopteri, Cypriniformes, Cyprinidae.
CCUCCACAAAUAGAGACUGGAACUUCUGAGCACCAUCACCUUGUCUGCUUUGGGACUGUCGUAGCCCAGCAAUCAGAUGCAUCAGAACAACAAAGCACAACUGUGAUGGCCCAGGCACCUUCAGCAACAAAGAUUUAACAUCAUUGUCAGUCAGGAGCAUAUUUAACAGGAGACACCCUUCAGCUGGCUUGAU